AUUUGUGACUCGGAAUGGAUUCUGGAAGGAUGUGCCUCCCACUGUGGUGACAUAGGGGCUGAAAGCAGAAAACAGCACUCACACUGUAUGGGUUCCAAGGGGACUUCCAAAAUGUGUGGAGAUGGAACAUUCACCAAAUCUUCUACUAAAAUGCCUGGGAACUGAGAAGAGGAAUACUGGGAACUGCAUUCCACCCAGAAGCCAUGGGGCCUAGACAUGUAGGAAGAAGGGAAUGCAGCAACCAGAGCUGGUUAAACUGAGGUCUUAGCUACAGGAGCACCUGGUGGGGUCAAAGCAAAGUUCUAGAUCAUGCAGCCAUAGAUGAAGAUUGGUGGUCACAGGUAAGUAGUGGGCUGGGGUGCUUACCUGGAGGCAGGGAAACUGGGACGGAACUGGUGUCUUCCAGAGACAGACCAACACCCAGCCCCACUGUCACCUGAGGCAAAGAGCAGGGUAAGACCCCGAGCGGCUGCCUUCAUGAGCUCCGUGUUGACCCGCUGGGUGUAGGCGCUGCUGAGGGAGUCCUCGUCAUCCCCAUAGCUCACGGUGUGCACAUGCGGCAGGGCUGACUCA
This is a long non-coding RNA of Mirounga angustirostris (Northern elephant seal), 573 nucleotides long. RefSeq lists it as uncharacterized. The record is from RefSeq and is a predicted model, not a curated record. The transcript has 3 exons. Lineage: Eukaryota; Metazoa; Chordata; Mammalia; Carnivora; Phocidae.